This 72-nucleotide transfer RNA is filed under the name Scopelarchus sp. ausc01. RNAcentral's name for it is "tRNA-Trp". It matches the Rfam family "tRNA". Rfam says of the family: Transfer RNA (tRNA) molecules are approximately 80 nucleotides in length. Their secondary structure includes four short double-helical elements and three loops (D, anti-codon, and T loops). Lineage: Eukaryota; Metazoa; Chordata; Actinopteri; Aulopiformes; Scopelarchidae. The record is from RNAcentral. RNAcentral also lists the same sequence under 1 other name.
AGGGACUUAGGAUAGUAUUAAGACCGAAGGCCUUCAAAGCCCUAAGCGAGAGUGAAAACCUCUCAGCCCCUA